RNAcentral lists this ribosomal RNA (527 nucleotides) under uncultured euryarchaeote. RNAcentral describes it as "bacterial SSU rRNA". It matches the Rfam family "Archaeal small subunit ribosomal RNA", at positions 735 to 1266 of the family's 1478-position model. Lineage: Archaea; Methanobacteriati; Methanobacteriota. The record is from RNAcentral.
ACCCGAGUAGUCCUGGCCAUAAACGCUGCGAGCUAGGUGUUGCAUAUUCUUCGGGAAUAUGCAGUGUCGAAAUGAAGAUGUUAAGCUCGCCGCCUGGGAAGUAUGGUCGCAAGACUGAAACUUAAAGGAAUUGGCGGGGGAGCACCACAAGGGGUGCGGCGUGCGGUUUAAUCUAAUUCAACGCAGAAAAUCUCACCAGAAGCGACGGCAGGAUGAAGGUCAGAUUGAAGGUUUUACCAGACAAGCCGAGAGGUAGUGCAUGGCCGUCGUCAGCUCGUGCCGUAAGGUGUCCUGUUAAGUCAGGCAACGAGCGAGACCUGUACCUACAAUUGCUAGCAACUUCUAGGAUUGAGCACAUUGUAGGGACUGCCUUGGAAACAAGGAGGAAGGCGCAGGCUACGAUAGGUCUGUAUGCUCCGAAUCUUCUGGGCUACACGCGCGCAACAAUGACAAGGACAAUGGGAUACGACUCCGAAAGGAGGAGUUAACCCUCUAAACCUUGCCUUAGUUCAGAUUGAGGACUGUAA